UCCCGAUUUCUUCUUCUUUUUUCCCCAAUUUCUUCUGCUGUUGCUCUGUCCUACUCGCUCCAUCUUCUUCCCCCCUCCAUCUGCAUCGUCGUCCCUGUCAACGAAGCGCCGAACGAGACAAAACAUUGUUGUCUCUGCAUCUGAGCAUCUCAUUAUUUUUCUGGGCAUGGCAAAGGCGUAACUUUUGGGCAGAUUUGGGGAAGCAAGAACUUCCAGUGUUUGGGCAAAUCUGGAGCCCUGAUUCUGGCAUUAGCAUAUUUGAACAUGGAUUCAGAGCCCUGAUACUCUAAUACGACUUGGUGAUUGAAAACAAGCCAUUGUAACAAAAAAGGAAGAAAUACGUCACUGGAUGUUAGUGAUCAUUGAUCCAGAUGACCAUACAUGUUACUAUCUUGAUCCACUUAGAAAAUCUCCUCCAAAUGAUUUGAAGAACCUUAUGAACAGUGUCUCUUCACACAUUAAGCGAAAAACAGGAAGGAAUGAAAAAAAUUACAAGUGGAAAAUAGUCAAUUGCCCUCGUCAAACAUCGUCAGUAGAGUGCGACUUUUAUAUCAUAAGGAUGAUGAAGGACUAUUGCUUGAAUGUGACACCCAUGCGAUGGCUAACUAGUAAUGUAAGUGUAUUUAUAAUUAUUGAACUACAAUUCUAUUGAAUUUAAUUUCUGACUUAGUUUUUUAUUUUGUGUUUUGUAAUGUGGUGGGAAGAAUAAAUAUACACUUGGCGAAAUUAAUGAAACUCGAAAUGAAUGGGCAGCGAAGCUUCUUGAGCGGAUGAGUCAUAGCUAGAGUAACUUUUGAAAUCAGAAUUAAAAAAAUAUACUAAUUGUAGUUUUUAGUUAGCACUUACAUAGUUAUU
Humulus lupulus (European hop) is the source of this 855-nucleotide long non-coding RNA. RefSeq lists it as uncharacterized. The record is from RefSeq and is a predicted model, not a curated record. NCBI's taxonomy places the organism in Eukaryota, Viridiplantae, Streptophyta, Magnoliopsida, Rosales, Cannabaceae. The transcript has 4 exons.